This 254-nucleotide ribosomal RNA is filed under the name uncultured bacterium. RNAcentral's name for it is "partial 16S ribosomal RNA". It matches the Rfam family "Bacterial small subunit ribosomal RNA", at positions 524 to 776 of the family's 1533-position model. The record is from RNAcentral.
UACGGGGGGAGCAAGCGUUGUUCGGAUUUACUGGGCGUAAAGGGCGCGUAGGCGGUCAGCACAAGUCAGUUGUGAAAUCUCCGGGCUUAACUCGGAAAGGUCAACUGAUACUGUGCGACUAGAGUGCAGAAGGGGCAACUGGAAUUCUCGGUGUAGCGGUGAAAUGCGUAGAUAUCAGGAGGAACACCGGUGGCGAAGGCGCCACUCUGGGCCGAAACUGACGCUGAGGAGCGAAAGCGUGGGUAGCAAACAGG